AUUGAACGCUGGCGGCAGGCCUAACACAUGCAAGUCGAGCGCGCGUCGGACGGGUGAGUAAUGUAUGGGGACUGCCCGAUAGAGGGGGAUAACUACUGGAAACGGUGUCUCCUACCGCAUACUCUAGGAUCACCCACAUGGGAUUUGCUAGUAGGUAAGGUAAUGGCUUACCUAGGCGACGAUCCCUAGCUGGUCUGAGAGGAUGAUCAGCCACACUGGGACUGAGACACGGCCCAGACUCCUACGGAGGCAGCAGUGGGGAAUAUUGCACAAUGGGCGCAAGCCUGAUGCAGCCAUGCCGCGUGUAUGAAGAAGGCCCUAGGGUUGUAAAGUACUUUCAGUCGGGAGGCGUUACCGACAGAAGAAGCACCGGCUAACUCCGUGCCAGCAGCCGCGGUAAUAC
This 403-nucleotide ribosomal RNA is filed under the name uncultured bacterium. RNAcentral describes it as "partial 16S ribosomal RNA". It matches the Rfam family "Bacterial small subunit ribosomal RNA", at positions 30 to 526 of the family's 1533-position model. The record is from RNAcentral.